UGGGGAAUAUUGCACAAUGGGCGCAAGCCUGAUGCAGCCAUGCCGCGUGUAUGAAGAAGGCCUUCGGGUUGUAAAGUACUUUCAGCGGGGAGGAAGGGAGUAAAGUUAACACCUUUGCUCAUUGACGUUACCCGCAGAAGAAGCACCGGCUAACUCCGUGCCAGCAGCCGCGGUAAUACGGAGGGUGCAAGCGUUAAUCGGAAUUACUGGGCGUAAAGCGCACGCAGGCGGUUUGUUAAGUCAGAUGUGAAAUCCCCGGGCUCAACCUGGGAACUGCAUCUGAUACUGGCAAGCUUGAGUCUUGUAGAGGGGGGUAGAAUUCCAUGUGUAGCGGUGAAAUGCGUAGAGAUGUGGAGGAAUACCGGUGGCGAAGGCGGCCCCCUGGACAAAGACUGACGCUCAGGUGCGAAAGCGUGGGGAGCAAACAGG
RNAcentral lists this ribosomal RNA (429 nucleotides) under Chloroflexota bacterium. RNAcentral describes it as "Chloroflexi bacterium partial 16S ribosomal RNA". It matches the Rfam family "Bacterial small subunit ribosomal RNA", at positions 355 to 776 of the family's 1533-position model. Lineage: Bacteria; Bacillati; Chloroflexota. The record is from RNAcentral.